UUAAGCGACUAAGCGUACACGGUGGAUGCCCUGGCAGUCAGAGGCGAUGAAGGACGUGCUAAUCUGCGAUAAGCGUCGGUGAGGUGAUAUGAACCGUUAUAACCGGCGAUUUCCGAAUGGGGAAACCCAGUGUGUUUCGACACACUAUCAUUAACUGAAUCCAUAGGUUAAUGAGGCGAACCGGGGGAACUGAAACAUCUAAGUACCCCGAGGAAAAGAAAUCAACCGAGAUUCCCCCAGUAGCGGCGAGCGAACGGGGAGGAGCCCAGAGCCUGAAUCAGUGUGUGUGUUAGUGGAAGCGUCUGGAAAGGCGUGCGAUACAGGGUGACAGCCCCGUACACAAAAAUGCACAUAUUGUGAGCUCGAUGAGUAGGGCGGGACACGUGGUAUCCUGUCUGAAUAUGGGGGGACCAUCCUCCAAGGCUAAAUACUCCUGACUGACCGAUAGUGAACCAGUACCGUGAGGGAAAGGCGAAAAGAACCCCGGCGAGGGGAGUGAAAAAGAACCUGAAACCGUGUACGUACAAGCAGUGGGAGCCUCUUAAUGGGGUGACUGCGUACCUUUUGUAUAAUGGGUCAGCGACUUAUAUUCUGUAGCAAGGUUAACCGAAUAGGGGAGCCGAAGGGAAACCGAGUCUUAACUGGGCGUUAAGUUGCAGGGUAUAGACCCGAAACCCGGUGAUCUAGCCAUGGGCAGGUUGAAGGUUGGGUAACACUAACUGGAGGACCGAACCGACUAAUGUUGAAAAAUUAGCGGAUGACUUGUGGCUGGGGGUGAAAGGCCAAUCAAACCGGGAGAUAGCUGGUUCUCCCCGAAAGCUAUUUAGGUAGCGCCUCGUGAAUUCAUCUCCGGGGGUAGAGCACUGUUUCGGCAAGGGGGUCAUCCCGACUUACCAACCCGAUGCAAACUGCGAAUACCGGAGAAUGUUAUCACGGGAGACACACGGCGGGUGCUAACGUCCGUCGUGAAGAGGGAAACAACCCAGACCGCCAGCUAAGGUCCCAAAGUCAUGGUUAAGUGGGAAACGAUGUGGGAAGGCCCAGACAGCCAGGAUGUUGGCUUAGAAGCAGCCAUCAUUUAAAGAAAGCGUAAUAGCUCACUGGUCGAGUCGGCCUGCGCGGAAGAUGUAACGGGGCUAAACCAUGCACCGAAGCUGCGGCAGCGACACUAUGUGUUGUUGGGUAGGGGAGCGUUCUGUAAGCCUGUGAAGGUGGCCUGUGAGGGUUGCUGGAGGUAUCAGAAGUGCGAAUGCUGACAUAAGUAACGAUAAAGCGGGUGAAAAGCCCGCUCGCCGGAAGACCAAGGGUUCCUGUCCAACGUUAAUCGGGGCAGGGUGAGUCGACCCCUAAGGCGAGGCCGAAAGGCGUAGUCGAUGGGAAACAGGUUAAUAUUCCUGUACUUGGUGUUACUGCGAAGGGGGGACGGAGAAGGCUAUGUUGGCCGGGCGACGGUUGUCCCGGUUUAAGCGUGUAGGCUGGUUUUCCAGGCAAAUCCGGAAAACCAAGGCUGAGGCGUGAUGACGAGGCACUACGGUGCUGAAGCGACAAAUGCCCUGCUUCCAGGAAAAGCCUCUAAGCAUCAGGUAACAUCAAAUCGUACCCCAAACCGACACAGGUGGUCAGGUAGAGAAUACCAAGGCGCUUGAGAGAACUCGGGUGAAGGAACUAGGCAAAAUGGUGCCGUAACUUCGGGAGAAGGCACGCUGAUAUGUAGGUGAAGCGACUUGCUCGUGGAGCUGAAAUCAGUCGAAGAUACCAGCUGGCUGCAACUGUUUAUUAAAAACACAGCACUGUGCAAACACGAAAGUGGACGUAUACGGUGUGACGCCUGCCCGGUGCCGGAAGGUUAAUUGAUGGGGUUAGCGGUAACGCGAAGCUCUUGAUCGAAGCCCCGGUAAACGGCGGCCGUAACUAUAACGGUCCUAAGGUAGCGAAAUUCCUUGUCGGGUAAGUUCCGACCUGCACGAAUGGCGUAAUGAUGGCUAGGCUGUCUCCACCCGAGACUCAGUGAAAUUGAACUCGCUGUGAAGAUGCAGUGUACCCGCGGCAAGACGGAAAGACCCCGUGAACCUUUACUAUAGCUUGACACUGAACAUUGAGCCUUGAUGUGUAGGAUAGGUGGGAGGCUUUGAAGUGUGGACGCCAGUCUGCAUGGAGCCGACCUUGAAAUACCACCCUUUAAUGUUUGAUGUUCUAACGUUGGCCCGUAAUCCGGGUUGCGGACAGUGUCUGGUGGGUAGUUUGACUGGGGCGGUCUCCUCCUAAAGAGUAACGGAGGAGCACGAAGGUUGGCUAAUCCUGGUCGGACAUCAGGAGGUUAGUGCAAUGGCAUAAGCCAGCUUGACUGCGAGCGUGACGGCGCGAGCAGGUGCGAAAGCAGGUCAUAGUGAUCCGGUGGUUCUGAAUGGAAGGGCCAUCGCUCAACGGAUAAAAGGUACUCCGGGGAUAACAGGCUGAUACCGCCCAAGAGUUCAUAUCGACGGCGGUGUUUGGCACCUCGAUGUCGGCUCAUCACAUCCUGGGGCUGAAGUAGGUCCCAAGGGUAUGGCUGUUCGCCAUUUAAAGUGGUACGCGAGCUGGGUUUAGAACGUCGUGAGACAGUUCGGUCCCUAUCUGCCGUGGGCGCUGGAGAACUGAGGGGGGCUGCUCCUAGUACGAGAGGACCGGAGUGGACGCAUCACUGGUGUUCGGGUUGUCAUGCCAAUGGCACUGCCCGGUAGCUAAAUGCGGAAGAGAUAAGUGCUGAAAGCAUCUAAGCACGAAACUUGCCCCGAGAUGAGUUCUCCCUGACUCCUUGAGAGUCCUGAAGGAACGUUGAAGACGACGACGUUGAUAGGCCGGGUGUGUAAGCGCAGCGAUGCGUUGAGCUAACCGGUACUAAUGAACCGUGAGGCUUAACCUU
RNAcentral lists this ribosomal RNA (2902 nucleotides) under Escherichia coli UMEA 3233-1. RNAcentral's name for it is "bacterial LSU rRNA". It matches the Rfam family "Bacterial large subunit ribosomal RNA". The record is from RNAcentral. Lineage: Bacteria; Pseudomonadati; Pseudomonadota; Gammaproteobacteria; Enterobacterales; Enterobacteriaceae.